This is a long non-coding RNA of Gasterosteus aculeatus aculeatus (three-spined stickleback), 4646 nucleotides long. Lineage: Eukaryota; Metazoa; Chordata; Actinopteri; Perciformes; Gasterosteidae. The record is from Ensembl.
GUUAAAAUGUCAAUGUCAAGUGGGGUAUUUAAAUGUUUCUUUACUGACGUUCACACAGCCUCAGUUACUUAUUGACCUCAUCCACUGUGUUUGUGCCUCUCUGUGACAACAUGUCUCAAACUUAACCACACAGAAAUACAGAAAGAAAUGGAAAUCCAACCCUGAUUUCAAAGGUUGGUUGAAACCAGUUAUUUGAGAUGAUACACAGGCAUACUUUCUGUAGUGUAAAGCAGAGUUUUAUGCCAAAAAAAAAAAUUCAAAAGGCAAAGCCGUACAGUUCUACCCUAAGCAAGCUACCAAUAAACACAUUGACUCUGCAAAAAAGGCAAAAGACACCAUGGUAUUAGCUAUUGCUGAACACUGUUCAUGCACUGAACUUGCUGGCAGAGCCAGCCCUUCCUGUAGACCAGGGCUCUUCAACGUUUUUCAGGCUAAGAUUCCCCAAACUGAUCUGUCUAUGCCAACUAUGUAAAGCACUAUAGAAAUUAAAUGUAUUAUUACUAAAAUAUUCGAGACUCGAACCUGAGUCUCCUACGUCCUAAACAAAAAGCUUUAGCCCUGCUACAUAAUGUGUGAGUAAAACAGACAUUUUGCGAUCUUUGGGAAAACUAGGUUAUUUUUUUUAGCUAGGUCAUAGCACACAAUUGGGUGCCGACACAAUUCCGAGCAAGGGUGCGGGAGGAGAUGCGUGUCAAACUUUUUUACGGAAGGGGAAUAACAGAACUAGAAAAUUCCGCAGAAAUUGUUAGAGUGUCGUAAUGUUGGCUAGACUUGCAUUAAAAACUAAACAAAAAAGAGAGAUUCGAAUCCGGGUCUUCUACAUACAAAAAAAAAUACCACUGGGCUAACUGCACUGCAUAAAACAGGCAGAGUAAAUGGGGAUUUCAUCUAGAACCCACAUACAUUGUACUCCAUUCGUUCCAGUGGAGCUUUUUUGCUCGGCCGUUAACACCAGCUGUAAUACUAUUCAGCAUAGUAGUAUUUGUAGUAACAUUAGUAGUAGUUGUAGUAUUAAUAGCAGUAAUGUCAGUUGCAGAGUCAGUACUAGAAGUAGUAGUAUUUUUAGUAGUAGUACUAGUUUUAGUAGUCAUUUUAAUACCAGUAGAACUACUAGUAGUGAUAAUAAUAGAAUUAUUUAGUUAGUUGUACUACAAGUUGUAGUAGUAGUAUUAAUAGCAGUAUGAAUACUAGUAGUACAAGUAGUACAGUUGCAGUGUCAUUGCAAUUUUUAGUAUUAACACUAAUAGUAUUAGUAGUAAUAGUAAGAGUAAGUUUAGUAUUAAUACCAGUUUGAAUACUACUACUACUAGUACUGAGACUACUACUACUACUAUACUACUACUAGUAGUAGUAGUAGAAGUACUGAGACAGUGAGCGAUUAAGAGUAAGGAGUGGUCGGGGGGGCAAGCGAGGGGUUUCAUGACAGAGAGCAUAGCUGCGUCAUGUCACUCCACUAAUCAGCUAUUAUGGUUCAGCUGUGUUCAGACUCUACCAAACGCGACCAUGUGGUGUAUAUGUCUGUCCGGUAAUAAAUAUGACUCCACUGGCAGUUUACAAAACGUGUACCCCCUGUUGAACUAGAAAAUACAUUUCCUAUAGAAAAUGCGAUGCAAUGCUGAAAGCUUAGAAGCUGAAAGCUGUAAUUCAUUUUGAAAAAUUGCUGAAAGUACAGAAAUGGCAGAAGCUGAUAGGAAUUUCAAUCCAUUUGUUGAAAAUAAAGAAAUGAGAAAAGCUAAAAAUGACUAGAAAAAUUGCUAAAAGAAUACAGAAGAGAAUAUCAAAACAUUGCUAAAAAUGCAGACAUCAGAAAAGCCUAAAUAAAUUUGAAAGAAUUGAUGAAAAUACAGAAAUGGGAGAAGCUGAAUUACCAGAAAUUGCUGAAAAUGCAUAAAUGGCAGAAAAUAAAAUGAAUUUGAAAAAAACACAGGAAUAAAAAAUAUUGCUGAAAAUACAAAAAUCACAAAAGCUGGCAUGAAUAUUAAAAAAUAUAUUUGAAGCAUUAAUAUUUGUAGUAAUUGUAAUUUUGGUACUAGUAAUACUAGCAGUAGAGGAAGUAGUAGUUUUAUUAUCAAUAGCAUUAGAAAAGUAAUAGUGUUAGUACUAAUAUUAUCAGCUGUAGUACUACUGCCAUUAGUCAUAGUAGUAUUUGUAAUAAAACCAAUAGCAGCAUAAAUAGUAGUACUUUUUGUUUUAGUAGAAAUAUCAGUUGCAGUGUCAUUACUACUACUGGUAGUAUUAAGCAAUUUUAGUAUGAAUCAUUUUAGUAAUAAUAGCAGUAGUGUCAGUACAACUACAACUGAUACAAUUACUAUCAGUAAUAAGUUGGUCAAUAUUGGUCAGUACCUGGGGGUUGUAAUAAGGUACUUCAGUGACAAAGACACAAUUGGCUCAACAUUUCUGGGGCUUGUUGAGUUGGAUGGGGGAUCUAUAGCCCGAGCUGUUGUGGCCUUCCUGGAGAAGAGUGCUCUUAAAAAGAGAAACUGGAUAUAGGGGAAAAAAUAGGGUACAUAAAGUGCUAAAGAAGUGGCUGUCAAAGAUUUAAUUGUUUUUUGCUGUGUGUGUUGCUCUAUGCAACUUGAUGUAACUUAUGCGUCCAAUGACACCAUCCCCCGUAGUACUUCAAAGCGUAAGGAGGCCUACAAGGCCUUAUAUGAGACCAUCAACUGUUGGGAGAAACCCUUAUUAAUAACCAGGGUCUGGCUCUCAUUGAACGGUUUUAUGCAUUUUGGAAUAGUGGGAGGCACUUAAAAUACAUUUUGAAGUCUCCAAGUCCAGUGAACACAGCUGCAUGCCUGAGGUUUACACUCCAAGACUGCAAGAUUUAAAAAAUAAUAAUAAUACGAUGUAUUUUUGCAAUAGCAGACAGAACAAUUAUAACUUUAUUAAGUUAUUUGAAAUCUAAUACUUUAAUCAAUCUUCCUCACUAGAAUGCUUUUUACAUGUAUUAAAAGGUGUAGGUAUCGAAAACAUCCAAGUAGUCACCAAGAGGCUGAGUAGGUGAGAUUGUCCUGAAGACGCACUUCCUUCAAUGAGUUCAGGAUCCAGUGACAGCGUUUUGUAUUAUUGUUUAGAACAGAUAGAUAUAACGUGUUGGAAAGCACACAUUCACUACUGCUCAAGGUGAUACAAUAUGUAUGUAUCAACCUUAGACCCUGUGCAGGCGGAAUCUAGUUUGCCUGAACCGGGUUCAUUUUUCACACCUACCCACUUUUUAAAUCGCGUGCACAUGAACCCAGUGAAUCUGAUUGACUCCGCUGUAGUACAUCCCCCAUGCCUGUUGGUGGCGCUUUAAGGUGCUACAGACAACUUAAGAAAACGGAAGGAGAAGACAGGAGCAUGCGUAUAAGACAUGUGCGCAGUAUACAAACGAAAAGAACUGACAAUAUUCCCGUGGUACGCAUUGUAGACUUGUUAGCACAUUCAGCAGGCACAUUAUCCUUGCGUUCGCCAUUGUUGUUGUUAUGAAGUGACGCAUUGGGGUUAAUAAGGGUUCAGCGUGAGGUUGCAUGCAAUCACGUGAUGCAAUCAGGUGGGGCAAUCCGAUUAGGUAUGCGGAUAGCGUGCAGACGAACACCAACAGCAAUCGGAUUUCGAGUUUAUUCACUUUGGACCCCCGAUUCGAGGGAGUGCGGAUACAGUGUGCGGAUACAGUGCGUUCGUCUGCACGAUAGGGCUAUCCGGAGACGGGGUUCACCGGGUUCAGGCAAACUAGAGUCUGUCUGCACGGGGUGUGAAUUUCCUUUAACAAACCAGCGGUAAAAGAAUAAAAGAGGCCUACUUUGCUGAAUAAUAUAACCUUAAACAAUCCAUAUAAUCCAGGGAAGCAAAAUGGGUCUUUAACAUUUAAUUAUUAGAAAAGGCUGAGUAGAAAAGUUUUGUAAUAAUAGCCCUUCAGAGGAAUCCUAAGCAUUUAUCCAGGGAUAAGGCCUGUGGUUGUUUGCUUUGUAAUUAAGGAAACCACGGCUCCUCAGCUCUCCUCCUCCUCUUUUUCUCUACUUGUCCGCAGCAGCGUUCACUAUAAUCUUUGGUCCUAAUAAGACAUGAAGAUGCAUGUGCGUACAUACACACACACACACACACACACACGCGCGCACGCACACGCACGCACUAAUCGACACACACAUAUUCUAUGUGAAAUCCCUUUAGCUGGAAGAGCAUGUCGGAUUAGCUCUGCAGCGACCAGGCUAUAUAUAGAAGUCAUCAUGGGCUUUCAGGCCCCCUCAUCCAUUCUCCCUCUCUUCUUUUUUUUCUAUAUUAACCGCACCAGUGGUUUUCUUUUCCUAAAGUGCUUUCUUGCCGGACAGCCCAUCCACACUGCUGUCCUUGAAAAGGUUACGCACAUGUUUCAUUCUUCACCAUUUUGUCUGUCUCCUGCAGAGAGAGAAGGGAGGGAGACUGUCCUUCCUGAUUGAGAAUGAUUAAAAGCAGCGGGUUGUCACAUCCUGCUAGCACUGAUGACACAACAAAAUGACAGCGUAUUAAAAACAGUAAAAGGAGGAGGAGGACUGAGCAGCAGCGACAAAACAUAAAGGAACUGCAAUCUGUUCCGACAAAUUUAUAUUGAAAAGACCCUCAAGUCCCUUGUGUCUGGAUAGCCCCCCCUCCCUUUCCCUCCCUGCCCUCCCAGUUGCUACAUCAUACACCGA